Molecule: long non-coding RNA, 228 nt
Filed under: Trifolium pratense (red clover)
Lineage: Eukaryota; Viridiplantae; Streptophyta; Magnoliopsida; Fabales; Fabaceae
Description: long non-coding RNA (TPRA_LNC011276)
Source: RNAcentral
UCGAAAUCAUUACAACACUAAUGAAGGAUUAUAAAGCAUUAAGAGACGAAUUGCAUUAAGUAAACACUGUUAACAGAGUAAAUUCUUACAAUUAAGCAGAUUACAUGAGAUUCAUCUACAUCCUAAGCUAUCCUAGAUCCUACCUCCACAAGGAAUUUAGCUCCUCAUGUUGCUUCGUUCGCGUCCUCGCUUCAACGUCAUGGCUUGAGAAUCCAUGCUAUUGAGUUG